GCAUUGGUGGUUCAGUGGUAGGUUUCUCACCUUCUGUGCGGGAGAACUGGGUUCGAUUCCUGGCCAAGGCC
RNAcentral lists this transfer RNA (71 nucleotides) under Loxodonta africana (African savanna elephant). It matches the Rfam family "tRNA". From Rfam's summary of the family: Transfer RNA (tRNA) molecules are approximately 80 nucleotides in length. Lineage: Eukaryota; Metazoa; Chordata; Mammalia; Proboscidea; Elephantidae. The record is from Rfam by way of RNAcentral.